GUAUUUGCUUCGGCAGUAGGUACAUCUACUAAACUUUCAACGAUACAGAGAAGAUUAGCAUGGCCCUUGCGCAAGGAUGACAUGCAAAAUCGUGAAGCGUUCCAAAUUUUU
This is a non-coding RNA of Bombyx mori (domestic silkworm), 111 nucleotides long. NCBI's taxonomy places the organism in Eukaryota, Metazoa, Arthropoda, Insecta, Lepidoptera, Bombycidae. The record is from Rfam.